GCUUCGGUAGCUCAACGGUAGAGCGUCAAACUCUUACAGUCCCUCUGACCGGGUAAGAGUUUGAAGGCUGUGGGUUCGAUUCCCAUGCGAGGCA
Hysterangium stoloniferum is the source of this 94-nucleotide non-coding RNA. Lineage: Eukaryota; Fungi; Basidiomycota; Agaricomycetes; Hysterangiales; Hysterangiaceae. The record is from the annotation of a GenBank genome assembly.